UACGAAGGGGGCUAGCGUUGCUCGGAAUCACUGGGCGUAAAGCGCACGUAGGCGGAUUGCUAAGUCAGGGGUGAAAUCCUGGAGCUCAACUCCAGAACUGCCUUUGAUACUGGCGAUCUUGAGUCCGGGAGAGGUGAGUGGAACUGCGAGUGUAGAGGUGAAAUUCGUAGAUAUUCGCAAGAACACCAGUGGCGAAGGCGGCUCACUGGCCCGGUACUGACGCUGAGGUGCGAAAGCGUGGGGAGCAAACAGGG
RNAcentral lists this ribosomal RNA (254 nucleotides) under uncultured bacterium. RNAcentral describes it as "partial 16S ribosomal RNA". It matches the Rfam family "Bacterial small subunit ribosomal RNA", at positions 524 to 777 of the family's 1533-position model. The record is from RNAcentral.